This 490-nucleotide unclassified non-coding RNA is filed under the name Hevea brasiliensis (rubber tree). Lineage: Eukaryota; Viridiplantae; Streptophyta; Magnoliopsida; Malpighiales; Euphorbiaceae. The record is from RNAcentral.
GCCAAGUAGACUAUGAGAAAGUUUCAAAUACAGGAUCUUUGUGCCGAUGUCAAAGUCUUGUUCAGUAGAAGAUACUGCCUAUGCCACUUUCAAGAAUGUGUUGAAAUAUUAGAGUGUUCCAAAGAGCAUUGUAAGUAAUCGAGACGGCUGAUUUGUGCGAUCAUUUUGGUCAGAGUUGUUCCGUCUUUUGGGAACUAGAUUAGAUGUCUCAAUGAGUUUCCAUCCACAAACAGACACCCAGACCAAGAGAUAUAGUGGGUUGCUCAAGGAAUACUUGCGGCAUUUUGUCAAUGCCAGUAAGAAGAAUUGGGCUUCAUUACUUAAUGUGACACAAUUUUAUUUUAAUUCUUUAAAGAGUACGGCUACUAAUAGGAGUCCUUUUGAGAUUAUUACAGGUCAACAGCCUUUGGCAUUUCAUACUCUGGAUGGUCCUUACACUGACAAAAAUCCCAAAACAUAACACUUCACAAAUGAGUGAAGGCAAAAUAUA